RNAcentral lists this ribosomal RNA (253 nucleotides) under uncultured bacterium. RNAcentral describes it as "partial 16S ribosomal RNA". It matches the Rfam family "Bacterial small subunit ribosomal RNA", at positions 524 to 776 of the family's 1533-position model. The record is from RNAcentral.
UACGAAGGGGGCUAGCGUUGUUCGGAUUUACUGGGCGUAAAGAGCGCGCAGGCGGUCGUUCAAGUCGAGUGUGAAAGCCCCCGGCUCAACUGGGGAGGGUCACUCGAUACUGAUCGACUUGAAGGCAGGAGAGGGAAGCGGAAUUCCCGGUGUAGUGGUGAAAUGCGUAGAUAUCGGGAGGAACACCAGUGGCGAAGGCGGCUUCCUGGCCUGUUCUUGACGCUGAGGCGCGAAAGCGUGGGGAGCAAACAGG